UAGGGAAUCUUCCGCAAUGGGCGAAAGCCUGACGGAGCAACGCCGCGUCAGUGAUGAAGGUCUUCGGAUCGUAAAACUCUGUUAUUAGGGAAGAAUAAAUGUGUAAGUAACUAUGCACGUCUUGACGGUACCUAAUCAGAAAGCCACGGCUAACUACGUGCCAGCAGCCGCGGUAAUACGUAGGUGGCAAGCGUUAUCCGGAAUUAUUGGGCGUAAAGCGCGCGUAGGCGGUUUUUUAAGUCUGAUGUGAAAGCCCACGGCUCAACCGUGGAGGGUCAUUGGAAACGGGAAAACUUGAGUGCAGAAGAGGAAAGUGGAAUUCCAUGUGUAGCGGUGAAAUGCGCAGAGAUAUGGAGGAACACCAGUGGCGAAGGCGACUUUCUGGUCUGUAACUGACGCUGAUGUGCGAAAGCGUGGGGAUCAAACAGG
Molecule: ribosomal RNA, 429 nt
Filed under: Bacteroidota bacterium
Lineage: Bacteria; Pseudomonadati; Bacteroidota
Description: Bacteroidetes bacterium partial 16S ribosomal RNA
Rfam family: Bacterial small subunit ribosomal RNA
Source: RNAcentral